AGAGUUUGAUCCUGGCUCAGGAUGAACGCUGGCGGCGUGCCUAAUACAUGCAAGUCGAGCGAACGGACGAGAAGCUUGCUUCUCUGAUGUUAGCGGCGGACGGGUGAGUAACACGUGGAUAACCUACCUAUAAGACUGGGAUAACUUCGGGAAACCGGAGCUAAUGCCGGAUAAUAUUUUGAACCGCAUGGUUCAAAAGUGAAAGACGGUCUUGCUGUCACUUAUAGAUGGAUCCGCGCUGCAUUAGCUAGUUGGUAAGGUAACGGCUUACCAAGGCAACGAUGCAUAGCCGACCUGAGAGGGUGAUCGGCCACACUGGAACUGAGACACGGUCCAGACUCCUACGGGAGGCAGCAGUAGGGAAUCUUCCGCAAUGGGCGAAAGCCUGACGGAGCAACGCCGCGUGAGUGAUGAAGGUCUUCGGAUCGUAAAACUCUGUUAUUAGGGAAGAACAUAUGUGUAAGUAACUGUGCACAUCUUGACGGUACCUAAUCAGAAAGCCACGGCUAACUACGUGCCAGCAGCCGCGGUAAUACGUAGGUGGCAAGCGUUAUCCGGAAUUAUUGGGCGUAAAGCGCGCGUAGGCGGUUUUUUAAGUCUGAUGUGAAAGCCCACGGCUCAACCGUGGAGGGUCAUUGGAAACUGGAAAACUUGAGUGCAGAAGAGGAAAGUGGAAUUCCAUGUGUAGCGGUGAAAUGCGCAGAGAUAUGGAGGAACACCAGUGGCGAAGGCGACUUUCUGGUCUGUAACUGACGCUGAUGUGCGAAAGCGUGGGGAUCAAACAGGAUUAGAUACCCUGGUAGUCCACGCCGUAAACGAUGAGUGCUAAGUGUUAGGGGGUUUCCGCCCCUUAGUGCUGCAGCUAACGCAUUAAGCACUCCGCCUGGGGAGUACGACCGCAAGGUUGAAACUCAAAGGAAUUGACGGGGACCCGCACAAGCGGUGGAGCAUGUGGUUUAAUUCGAAGCAACGCGAAGAACCUUACCAAAUCUUGACAUCCUUUGACAACUCUAGAGAUAGAGCCUUCCCCUUCGGGGGACAAAGUGACAGGUGGUGCAUGGUUGUCGUCAGCUCGUGUCGUGAGAUGUUGGGUUAAGUCCCGCAACGAGCGCAACCCUUAAGCUUAGUUGCCAUCAUUAAGUUGGGCACUCUAAGUUGACUGCCGGUGACAAACCGGAGGAAGGUGGGGAUGACGUCAAAUCAUCAUGCCCCUUAUGAUUUGGGCUACACACGUGCUACAAUGGACAAUACAAAGGGCAGCGAAACCGCGAGGUCAAGCAAAUCCCAUAAAGUUGUUCUCAGUUCGGAUUGUAGUCUGCAACUCGACUACAUGAAGCUGGAAUCGCUAGUAAUCGUAGAUCAGCAUGCUACGGUGAAUACGUUCCCGGGUCUUGUACACACCGCCCGUCACACCACGAGAGUUUGUAACACCCGAAGCCGGUGGAGUAACCUUUUAGGAGCUAGCCGUCGAAGGUGGGACAAAUGAUUGGGGUGAAGUCGUAACAAGGUAGCCGUAUCGGAAGGUGCGGCUGGAUCACCU
Molecule: ribosomal RNA, 1540 nt
Filed under: Staphylococcus aureus M1256
Lineage: Bacteria; Bacillati; Bacillota; Bacilli; Caryophanales; Staphylococcaceae
Also listed under: 2 other names
Description: 16S ribosomal RNA
Rfam family: Bacterial small subunit ribosomal RNA
Source: RNAcentral